This 254-nucleotide ribosomal RNA is filed under the name uncultured bacterium. RNAcentral describes it as "partial 16S ribosomal RNA". It matches the Rfam family "Bacterial small subunit ribosomal RNA", at positions 524 to 776 of the family's 1533-position model. The record is from RNAcentral.
UACGUGGGGUCCAAGCAUUAUCCGGAAUUACUGGGCGUAAAGAGUUGCGUAGGUGGCAGAGUAAGUAGGUAGUGAAAUUGUGUGGCUCAACCAUACACCCAUUAUCUAAACUGCUCAGCUAGAGCAUGGAAGAGGUAACUGGAAUUUCUAGUGUAGGAGUGAAAUCCGUAGAUAUUAGAAGGAACACCGAUGGCGUAGGCAGGUUACUGGUCCAUUGCUGACACUAAGGCACGAAAGCGUGGGGAGCGAACGGG